GUGUCAGCCGCCGCGGUAAGACGUAGGGGGCGAGCGUUGUCCGGAUUUAUUGGGCGUAAAGGGCUCGUAGGCGGCUUGGCAAGUCGGGUGUGAAACCUCCAGGCUCAACCUGGAGACGCCACCCGAUACUGCCAUGGCUAGAGUCCGGUAGGGGACCACGGAAUUCCUGGUGUAGCGGUGAAAUGCGCAGAUAUCAGGAGGAACACCAGUAGCGAAGGCGGUGGUCUGGGCCGGAACUGACGCUGAGGAGCGAAAGCGUGGGGAGCAAACAGGAUUAGAUACCCUUGUAGUCC
This 293-nucleotide ribosomal RNA is filed under the name uncultured bacterium. Its description in RNAcentral is "partial 16S ribosomal RNA". It matches the Rfam family "Bacterial small subunit ribosomal RNA", at positions 505 to 796 of the family's 1533-position model. The record is from RNAcentral.